This 1304-nucleotide long non-coding RNA is filed under the name Parus major (Great Tit). RNAcentral describes it as "lncRNA (ENSPMJG00000002378.1)". Lineage: Eukaryota; Metazoa; Chordata; Aves; Passeriformes; Paridae. The record is from RNAcentral.
CUGAAAGGUAGUAACAACACUGGGGAGGCAGAGAAUGGUGAGCUUUCUUGCUGGGACAGGGACAGCAGUGGAACUCCAUGACAAGUUUGUGCUAGGACCUGGGAUGUUCUGUGGUACUCAUGACCAUCCUUGAUAAAAUAAUGACCACAAGUGGGAAGAGGAUAUUCUGCCACAUAAAAUUCUGACCUAACAUAGUACUGAUACUUCUGUGUAAAGAUCCCUCCAUCAUGGUGCAAAAAAUGCUCUACUGGACUUUGAUAUAAUUUCUUGUUAUUUUGGACAUGGAGAAGUGGAACAACUGUUUUUGAGCUUACAGACACUUCACAGCACCCCAAGGAGACCUGGGCAAGCAGAAGUUCCCUAGCAGGUACAAGACAAGGGCAGUGAUGACUGAAGUCAGUCCAUAUUGUUCAGCUUGCAAUGCCCUCAGACUUCAGUGAGUGCCAUGUAUUUCUUCAGGAUGUUUUGCUCCAGAGUGGCUGCAGUGCACAGAAACCAUGUGUGUGGCAUCUGCACGGGGGAUGGCACUGACUUGCCCCAUGACACAUGCAGAAGAGAAGCACUGUCUGACUGGCACUGUCUACACUUGGCCCAGGAUUCUCACCCAGGGAAUAAACAAAAAGUGUCUUCGAGGCAGAGGGGAGAAGUCCCCAUCUGGCUUCCAGGCCUGGGCAGAUACCAUGUAGUGCUGUCAAGCCCCCUCACAAAGCAGUGUCCUCUUUUUCUUCCCAAAUCUCUGCCAUCCUUUAUCCUGUCCCAGAUGUCCUUUCACAACUGCCCAGUCCCACCUGAUUCAUGUUUGUAAUACUCUCAAUUAAAAAAUUAGUAAUUAAAAUGAAGCCCUCUUUUCCCAUAUUACUCCCAGCCAUUACACUGUUCCAUCUGCCCAUUCCCAGAUCCCUUCUUGUUUUUAAAAGACUCAUUAGCAUGUGAUCUUGUCUCUGCCAGGAUUCCCCAGUGCCAUCUGCUCCCUUCCUAGAUGAUCAGUCUCGCUCAGAUCACUGUUUACCACACUUAAAAAUAUGACACAUUUUCUAAGCUUGGAGGAUGCUGUUGUGUUUCUCUACAAAAGUCAGUGGCUAUCAGUUUCUUGCCACAUUGACCUUCGUCCUUAGAUGCCCUGAUGCAUUCCCAGAACUCUGGGGGUUUUGUGGUGGCAGCAGAUCUGUGUCCCUCAGGCUAUACAGCCACAUGCUGGGCUAUAAUUUGUUUAAGACAUUUAGCACCUCCCCAGAUUCAGCAUCCUCUUUGUGGGAACAAUUUGUGUCCAUCUUAAUUCCUGCAGCAUAAAAUUACUAAGUUCA